RNAcentral lists this ribosomal RNA (254 nucleotides) under uncultured bacterium. RNAcentral describes it as "partial 16S ribosomal RNA". It matches the Rfam family "Bacterial small subunit ribosomal RNA", at positions 524 to 776 of the family's 1533-position model. The record is from RNAcentral.
UACGGGGGGAGCAAGCGUUGUUCGGAUUUACUGGGCGUAAAGGGCGCGUAGGCGGCCACCGCAAGUCGACUGUGAAAUCUCCGGGCUUAACCCGGAAAGGUCAGCCGAUACUGCGGGGCUAGAGUGCAGAAGGGGCAACUGGAAUUCUCGGUGUAGCGGUGAAAUGCGUAGAUAUCGAGAGGAACACCUGCGGCGAAGGCGGGUUGCUGGGCUGAUACUGACGCUGAUGCGCGAAAGCCAGGGGAGCAAACGGG